This is a long non-coding RNA of Oncorhynchus tshawytscha (Chinook salmon), 1050 nucleotides long. RefSeq lists it as uncharacterized. The transcript has 2 exons. The record is from RefSeq and is a predicted model, not a curated record. Lineage: Eukaryota; Metazoa; Chordata; Actinopteri; Salmoniformes; Salmonidae.
CCUCUAGUCUAUAACAUCACAAGGUACCGACUCAAACCCCUAGUCUAUAACAUCACAAGGUACCGACUCAAACCUCUAGUCUAUAACAUCACAAGGUACCGACUCAAACCUCUAGUCUAUAACAUCACAAGGUACCGACUCAAACCUCUAGUCUAUAACAUCACAAGGUACCGGCUCAAACCUCUAGUCUAUAACAUCACAAGGUACCGGCUCAAACCUCUAGUCUAUAACAUCACAAGGUACCGGCUCAAACCUCUAGUCUAUAACAUCACAAGGUACCGGCUCAAACCCCUAGUCUAUAACAUCACAAGGUACCAGCUCAAACCUCUAGUCUAUAACAUCACAAGGUACCGGCUCAAACCUCUAGUCUAUAACAUCACAAGGUACCAGCUCAAACCUCUAGUCUAUAACAUCACAAGGUACCGACUCAAACCUCUAGUCUAUAACAUCACAAGGUACUGGCUCAAACCUCUAGUCUAUAACAUCACAAGGUACCGGCUCAAACCUCUAGUCUAUAACAUCACAAGGUACCGGCUCAAACCUCUAGUCUAUAACAUCACAAGGUACCGGCUCAAACCUCUAGUCUAUAACAUCACAAGGUACCGGCUCAAACCCUAGUCUAUAACAUCACAAGGUACCGGCUCAAACCUCUAGUCUAUAACAUCACAAGGUACCGGCUCAAACCCCUAGUCUAUAACAUCACAAGGUACCGACUCAAACCUCUAGUCUAUAACAUCACAAGGUACCGGCUGAAACCUCUAGUCUAUAACAUCACAAGGUACCGGCUCAAACCUCUAGUCUAUAACAUCACAAGGUACCAGCUCAAACCCCUAGUCUAUAACAUCACAAGGUACCGGCUCAAACCUCUAGUCUAUAACAUCACAAGGUACCGGCUCAAACCUCUAGUCUAUAACAUCACAAGGUACCGGCUCAAACCUCUAGUCUAUAACAUCACAAGGUACCGGCUCAAACCCCUAGUCUAUAACAUCACAAGGUACCGACUCAAACCUCUAGUCUAUAACAUCACAAGGUACCGGCUCAAACCUCUAG